GCCGAAGUAGCUCAGGGGUAGAGCAACUGAUUCGUAAUCAGUAGGUCAGGGGUUCAAUUCCCCUCUUCGGCUCCA
RNAcentral lists this transfer RNA (75 nucleotides) under Deltaproteobacteria bacterium. RNAcentral describes it as "tRNA-Thr". It matches the Rfam family "tRNA". Rfam says of the family: Transfer RNA (tRNA) molecules are approximately 80 nucleotides in length. The record is from RNAcentral. Lineage: Bacteria; Pseudomonadati; Myxococcota; Myxococcia.